UUAACUUAUUUUAUAGUACUCAGACGACAUUAAUUAAAAGUAUUAGGGGGCCUCUGGCAGGAGCGCCUGUUACAACGCUGAAGGAAGAUCACUAUCGCCACUGUUUUACGAGCGGCUCCAGUCCUCAACCAUCCUACCAAAGCAACAAGAGUAAAUAACACAGGGUGGGAGGUCUACCCCAGGGGGCAUGAACUCUGUAAUGAUCCUUCCGCUGGUUCACCAACGGAAA
This 229-nucleotide unclassified non-coding RNA is filed under the name uncultured fungus. RNAcentral's name for it is "sequence contains ITS1". The record is from RNAcentral. Lineage: Eukaryota; Fungi.